AAACGUGUAGCAAUACGUGUUAUUCGAGCGGCGUAAGGGGCAGUAAUACCUGGGAACGUACCCUGAGGUCGGGGGUAGCUGCUGGAAACGGCGAGUAAUACCCGAUGAUCUCGAGAGAGCAAAGGCUUGCCGCCUUCGGAGCGGCCCAGGCGAUAUUAGCUAGUUGGUGGGGUAAUGGCCUACCAAGGCAAAGAUGUCUAGCGGGUGUGAGAGCACGACCCGCGCCACUGGCACUGAGACACUGGCCAGACACCUACGGGUGGCUGCAGUCGAGAAUCUUCGGCAAUGAGCGCAAGCUUGACCGAGCGACGCCGCGUGCGGGAUGAAGGCCUUCGGGUUGUAAACCGCUUUGGUCCGAGAGAAAGGGUAAAACUUGAUCGAUCGGAGAAACAAGGACGGGCUAAGUUCGUGCCAGCAGCCGCGGUAAGACGAACCGUCCAAACGUUAUUCGGAAUCACUGGGCUUAAAGGGCGCGUAGGCGGCCGAGCGGGUCGCGGGUGAAAUCCUCCAGCUUAACUGGAGAACUGCCCUCGAUACCACUGCGGCUCGAGGAAGGAAGGGGCAAUCGGAACUGUCGGUGGAGCGGUGAAAUGCGUUGAUAUCGACAGGAACG
This 613-nucleotide ribosomal RNA is filed under the name uncultured bacterium. Its description in RNAcentral is "bacterial SSU rRNA". It matches the Rfam family "Bacterial small subunit ribosomal RNA", at positions 70 to 708 of the family's 1533-position model. The record is from RNAcentral.